GAAAAAUUAGUCCCAGUUCAGAUUGCAGGCUGAAACUCGCCUGCAUGAAGUCGGAAUUGCUAGUAAUCGCAGAUCAGAAUGCUGCGGUGAAUACGUUCCCGGGCCUUGUACACACCGCCCGUCACACCAUGGGAGUCGGUAACACCCGAAGCCGAUAGUCUAACCGCAAGGAGGACGUCGUCGAAGGUGGGAUUGAUGACUGGGGUGAAGUCGUAACAAGGUACC
This 225-nucleotide ribosomal RNA is filed under the name uncultured bacterium. RNAcentral describes it as "partial 16S ribosomal RNA". It matches the Rfam family "Bacterial small subunit ribosomal RNA", at positions 1276 to 1500 of the family's 1533-position model. The record is from RNAcentral.